Long non-coding RNA from Rhineura floridana, 2036 nucleotides. RefSeq lists it as uncharacterized. NCBI's taxonomy places the organism in Eukaryota, Metazoa, Chordata, Lepidosauria, Squamata, Rhineuridae. The record is from RefSeq and is a predicted model, not a curated record. The transcript has 3 exons.
CACCUGAAUAUAAUGCCUUUACUGCAUUAAAAACACAGCAAGACUAGCUCUAAGAGUGUGUAUUUGGGAGAAAGGGAAAUAUAUGAGUUAUAUUAAAGGUGACUGUUCAAAAAAAGUUUACAAGUUUCUUGCUUCUAGCAUUGCCUUUAGCAACCCACAAGAAUCAGUAAAAUCAUGGCAAAAGUUCCCAGAUACAGCAUUCAUUUUCAUGGAAUUAAUAAUUUGUAUUCUUUCUGCAUUGCUGUUGUAUGCUGCUUGUUUGAUAUACAGAAUAAAUCUUCCACGCUCUGCAUAGACAUCAAAGAGAAGACGCUACAUGUGUCACUGGAAGGAGUCUCUCUGUCACAAUCAAAGCAGAAGCAGCUUCCCUUUACUCAAUGGAUUUGAAAGAUCUGGAAAAAUGAAAAAUUCCAAGAAAUCCUGAUACAAUCAAGGGUAUGAACAAAACUGCAAACCAAAACCUUGUGAUAAUUUAAUGUGCAUUCAUGUAGGUGCCUCUUAUUCCUCUCACAAGGAACAAAAGAAUUAGAAAGGUACAGCAAGAACAAAUGGCACGUGCACAGUAAUUGUUGCCAGUGCUGGAAACCCAAGCCAGAAGAAUGGUGGAAAGUAAACUAUUGGUGCUUCUCUGCAACUAGAACAAGGUAAACUGGAACUACUAUAGCCAAGGAAAAAACCUGGAGGGCAAGAAUUUUGGAUGCUUCCCUAAUCCUGCUCCAGUGAACUUAAAGUUUGCUACGCUCCAGCUACAUACUAGAGUGAGCUCAGAAAGCUUAAGAUCAAAUUUAAUAAAAAAUGGAGUCAGAAUAGGUUUGUCCAUCUCUGAAAAGUGAAGACAUGUGAUGUACCUCACAUUUGUUGUUGUUUUAAAAGAGGGGGGAUCCCUGGGAACAUCAAAACAUGUAUUUUAUUUUGCUUCAGUGCCCCUGGGAAGGGCCUCCAAUAUAGCCACACUGCUUUGAAGGGCCCCAAUGCAAAGGCAUUGCUUUUACAACUGCAUCCCUUCUCUCUCUCUCUCUUUCUCUCUUUUAAAGGAAAUCCAAAUUCCUCAUUUGUUUAGCUUGAAAUCCGGUACACAUUCCCACAAACUACUUCCUUUUCUCUCUCCUCCUUUCCCCCCCCCCAUAAUCAAACUCCCUCCUUGCCCCCUCCCUCCCUUUCUCUUCUUUUAAUGAAGAGAAGUUCAGAGAGUUCCCCCCCCCCGCCGCAUGAAUAGAUGGCAGGCACCUGGGAGUUAUGAAUUUUAAAGUGAUCAUUUUCUUUGAGCCACUCGGGACAAUGGGGAUCUCCUUUUGACUCAGUUUCACAGCUUUGAGAGGCUCUCAGAUCAGCCACAUUCCAAUCAGAUUGGAGUCAGAUCAGAGCUGUGCUGGACUGCAUCAAGGUCUCUCACAGAAAGACAAGGAGCAGAUGGCCAACACUGAGCUCUCCUCCCCUUUUCAGACCGCAAUGGAAGGCAAUGUGGGAACCCAUUCCCCCAGCAUUGCCUAUUGAGUGCUGAAUAGGACCACCACAUGCCACCAGCCUGUAGGUAUGAACCUCUGUUAACAGAUGGUGAGAUCAUUAUGAGCAAUUAAUUCCUUUAAUGUAUCAGUGGGAACAUGCUGGAAAGGAUGAGGCAAGCACGGAGUGAAUAGUGAGCGUCUCGCUCCUAGGGGAGAGCAGCAGCCACAUCACUGAAGGGAUGGGAAUUUUCUUUCAAGGGCUCCUGUGUGCACCACUGAGUACUGCUGUUAGCUCUUUGGACCACAGUACUGAGGCAUGGUUUUUAUUAUCCAAAUAGGCCUUCCCUUGUUGAUCUGCAUAAUUAAUAACAGAUUUUUCUCCCCAGAGAUCAUUUUUAGAUACAUGCAAAAAUUCAAAAGCAAUGGGGGCAGGGAUCUAAAGUUAUCAACAUGUAAUCGACUUGAAGGCAUCUAACAACAACAAAGCGCAAACAUAAAAAAAUGCAGAUUCAAACAUAGUAAAACAGUGUUGUAUUUCUAUUUAUGAGGGUUGUAUAUCUUUUUAAAAAUAACUCUUUUGAACGGAAAAAU